GUGGGGCUCAGCUGCUUUUGGCAGAAAGAUUUAUUGUAACAUUUAUCGUAACAGAAUGGUGUCAGGAGUGGGAUAACUCCAUGCCCGAAGGUUCCCAGAGAAAGAGAAAAUCAAAAGCUGUGAUUCCUUCCAGACUAAUAUGGUUUGAUCAAGCAAGACCCCCUGAAGCUGAGAUGAUACAGCCUUACAGACUAUAAAAACAAGGACUUGGUCAGGUUUCUAUGUUUUAUCAUGAUCCUAAUGGUAUAUGAACAUCGCCCCCAAUCAGCAGGAAGCAGUUUAGAAAGAACGACGCCCAUAUUCCCAAGUAUUGUUUAUAAAUGUUUUUUUCAUUUAAAUGAGGUUAGUUAUAAAUGAUAAUGAGCAUAGUCAAUCUCUUUUUAAAGAAAGAAAAGGGGAAUAGGAUAUAGGAAUGAAUACUUUAAAUUGGUAAAGAUUUUCAUUUAUUGAUACAACUUUAAGGUCAGUUUUGUGAUAUGUAUAUGUCUACUCUUGUUUAGGUAUUGUGUUUAUACAGAUCUUUUACCUAUAAUAGUCAGAACUUAUAAUUAGGUUAGUUAGGUUUUCUAGAUAUAGAGAUGUAUUUGAGAUGGUUAGGUAUUCUUCAAACCUUUCAAAGACCUACAGAAAUAUGGCAUUUAAAUGGUUUAGGGUUUUUCUUGGCAGUGAGACACAACUGCUCCUGGCACACCAAUUAUGUCAGAAAGGAGGAUGGGCAUCAAAGAAACUCGUUAUGGAGUUUGCUUUCAACAUGGCAAGACUAGCCAUUUGGGCAAGAAACUGCUCUUUCCUGGACUGUUUGUUGCUGUAUAAAUUGGACAUACAGGACCCACAAGAAAAUGACUGCUAAACUUACAAAACUGAAGGAUUCCUGUUAAAAUGGAGGAGUGUGCUAGACAUACUGUGGCCUAUAGGCUAAAGAUGGAUGCCCCAACAUUUACAGAGGAACUUUGGGUGACUGUCCAGGUAGCAAGAUGUCCUGUCAAUUCUAGAGUUUAUAUAUUAUCCUUCUGUGGUCUUUGAUAGAGUUAAAGACAGAUAGUUAUGGUUAUAGUUUUCUUCAGUUAUUAUAAAAAAU
This 1078-nucleotide long non-coding RNA is filed under the name Cricetulus griseus (Chinese hamster). RNAcentral's name for it is "lncRNA (ENSCGRG00015034858.1)". The record is from RNAcentral. Lineage: Eukaryota; Metazoa; Chordata; Mammalia; Rodentia; Cricetidae.